GACGAACGCUGGCGGCGCGCUUAACACAUGCAAGUCGAACGGAAAGGCCUGCUUUCCCUUGUGGAUUGCGGGUACUCGAGUGGCGAACGGGUGAGUAACACGUGAGUGAUCUGCCCCCAACUUGGGUAUAAGCCUGGGAAACUGGGUCUAAUUCCCGAUAGGACUGCAGGGUGGUGCCUGUGGUGGAAAACGAUUUUCUAGUGGUUGGGGAUGAGCUCGCGGCCUAUCAGCUUGUUGGUGGGGUAAUGGCCUACCAAGGCGGCGACGGGUAGCCGGCCUGAGAGGGUGGACGGCCACAUUGGGACUGAGAUACGGCCCAGACUCCUACGGGAGGCAGCAGUGGGGAAUAUUGCACAAUGGGCGGAAGCCUGAUGCAGCGACGCCGCGUGGGGGAUGACGGCCUUCGGGGUGUAAACUCCUUUCGACCGCGAGGAAGCCACCUGGUUGGAAGGGUGGUGACGGUAGUGGUAGAAGAAGCACCGGCUAACUACGU
Molecule: ribosomal RNA, 493 nt
Filed under: uncultured bacterium
Lineage: Bacteria
Description: partial 16S ribosomal RNA
Rfam family: Bacterial small subunit ribosomal RNA
Source: RNAcentral